This is a long non-coding RNA of Bolinopsis microptera, 1322 nucleotides long. RefSeq lists it as uncharacterized. The record is from RefSeq and is a predicted model, not a curated record. NCBI's taxonomy places the organism in Eukaryota, Metazoa, Ctenophora, Tentaculata, Lobata, Bolinopsidae. The transcript has 5 exons.
UAACCUCUAUCCGACAGCUUUAAAAUUUUUCUACGCGCCGCGCAAAUCCACGCGCGCAUUUUAGCGUGUCAAAAUCGUUUAAAACUAGAAUUAGUUGAUGAAGGAGCAUAAUGCAGAUCAUACGUUGUACGUGUGGCUUGAACAUUAUGAUUUCGCGCCAUUUCUUGUUUCUGCACUCGCUUUGAACUUUCAUGGCUUUAACAGCAGUUAUCGACUGACGACUUUGCUGUAUUACAUAGUGUACUUGGUACAUAAUUGAUCAACGAUAAUAGGAGGAACCCCUGCAAGCUUUAAAGGGCUCGUGUUACUUUAACAUCACUUUUGAAUUUCACGAAAGCAGAUAAAAGUUUUAGUGACGUUGCAGAAACUCCGGAAUACUGUGGAUUGGGAGGAGGAGAAAGUGAUAAUUCUGUUAUAUGGCCUGUUUCUAGGACACGAUAAACUUCCUAAUAAGAUCAGAUGGCUAAGUUACGGUGCAAAGACGGGUAGCUUGAGACUACCCGUUGUUACCUAUAAUCUAACUCACUCUUUCCACAUACGCGGCUAACCUGUUCCCGAUCAAUAUUCAGUUAACAACUCUACCUCGAUUCGAUGCAGUGCACAGUGGGAGAGGUUGAAGUUGACGUUCAAGCAGUCACCCUGCCGAACAAGAAAUCUUUCAGGCCAAGAGGCUAGGUGACUAGAAACUCAAUCACUAUAUCCGUGAAACUUGUCGGGAGCACUGUUAUGUGUGGAGGUCGGACCGAAACUGUAAUCAGACACUAAACAUUAACGAGGACCAAUUAUUCUACUCCUUCAAUGAUGAAUAAAGAUCGCUGAUUGCUUUUACUAAUGUAUAAUGUUAAAAUGAAAGAGAAACUAUUGAGACGAAAGAGAAAAAGGCACUCAUUUAUUUAUAGUUUUAUGUCUUAACAAUGAUAUUCGAAAGCUAAUUUUAAAAACUGGCUCUGAAUCCUUGCUAAAUGAUUUGGGAAGGUGUAAGGGCUUAAUAUGCCUGUAGACAUCAUUUUCAGUGGGUUUUAUGAAGUUUAUGAUUAGAGUAUAUUUUGGGACUGAAAUAAGCGCAAGACCUUCGACGUUUCUAUUGCUACUGUUUUUUUAAUUUAGCAAAUAUACAAACAAAAUUUAUACUGUCGUAAAGAUAAAAUAUUUAGUUAUCGGAUAGAGACUUUAAAAUUAAGUAUUACAAUAACCAAGCUAAAAUAUUCAAUGUUAAACUCAAAAAUUUUCACGCGUUUAUGAAGAAAUAUUUAGUUCUGCGCGUAGUUUUUUGGUCACAUCUACGGCAAAUUUUCGCCAAUUUUGUUCAUAAUUUCAAAAUG